UGCGAGUAACGAAAUGUAUUCGUGUGUAACGUUUCGUUACUCGUUACUAGAUGCCGCACCCGUUACUCAGUAACGAAUACAUACGGUUUGCUACAGCUCUACAUCUGGUCCAUUUACUUAUCUCUGGUGGAGAAUAAAAAUGGUGGAUUGAUGGUUUACUUUUAUAUUUCUUGGGUUGUAUAAAGAGUAAAGUAUUGUAGAAAAGUACGAUGAAUGGUAAAAAGUGUACUGCAAUGUCACGUCAUUUCCGCACCGAUACCUAUUAAAAUAGUAAAUUCCAACAAUUUGUAGCUCAUGGGACUUAAUGCUAGUAAGUAAAUUAGUGCUGUAUUAUAAAUAACAAUGAAUUGUUCAUUUUUUAGAAUUUAUUUCAAAGUUAAUAAUUAGUAUCUUUGAAUAUUACAAAGCUGAAGAUUUUCAUCGUAUUUGAGCCAUAUUCCAAGAUAACAUGCACACAUCACACUACUAGCCCAUAAGAUGGAUGAAAGCAGCAGCGAAAUGGUAUGCAUUGUCAAAGAAGAUGAGAAUGGAGAGAUUGUGUGUGUACCGAUACGCAAAUCUGAAAAAAGCGGAAAAGAUUACCUUGUCAUGGACGAGAAUUUCUGCUUGGUGGAGUACAACAUUGCUUCACUUAACAACAACGGGCAGAUCAUUGCAAAGCAGGAACCCGCAGAUGGUGACAGUCCCGUGGAAAUCAUACUUUUUCCCAACUAUGACGAUUUAAGUGAAUCAUCUGGUGAAGCAGAACGAGAGAUAAACAUUGACUGCAGUCACAUCUACGACGAGUGCAACUCCGAGGUACCCCGGCAGCAUUCUGAAGACUCAGACACAGAUAACGCUGUGUCCGAAAGCCGAAGUGUCUCCAUCAAGUCCGCAGAAAUAAUCAGGGAUUUAGACAAGGGGAUUGUGAAGUUUGAUACUUUGCUGCAAGUGGCGACCGGGAAAGUUUCAAAUUCGUCUAUGCCAGAAAAAUUUCGGUACCAAGAGCCGAGGGAGCAUAAGUUGCUCUCGCAUCCUAACAUCAGGCUGCAGACACGGUGCUCCAACAGCCAUGAGAAAAAGAAGUCUUGGACACAUCUUGUAGAUAAGACCCUUUUCGAUAAAGACUCACACCACAUUAACACACGGACAAAUGGUAAAGUGGGGAAAACUUAUCUGAAAAAAUUCAAUAGUAAUUCCCAAAAAAUCACUCUUACAGUGAAGCGAGAACACAUAGACAGUAAUUCACUCAGGAUUGGUAAAAAUGAACACCCGUUUCAAUGCACAAUGUGUGAUAAAUCUUUUCGACAGGCUAGCAGUCUUGUUAUACAUUACAAAGUUCACAAAGAAACUGUUAGGGAUAGUUGUAUCAUUAGUUGAAAAAUGUAUUUUAUUGAUUGCAUGCCUUGUUGUGUGCUAAGGUUCAUCAUUUGUAUAUUGUACAGUGAUAAUGAGUUUUAAAGAACAACCUCUUGCAGAGGAUAAAAGAUAUUGUUACUGAUUUUGUUAGGGGCAACUUUAAUAUUAAAGGAAUGUUAAUUAUUGUAACACUUUUGUCCACAUUUCACUUCUGUCAAAAUUUAAUUUUCAUAUGAUUGAAUUUCAUCUGUUGUGUUGUGUAUGUUUUAAGGCUCUAAAUUAAACCCUGUUGGCACUGUGUAUAACAGUUCAGUCAGUACAAUUCGUUGGCAAAUGUUUUUUACUCUAGUAGAUAUCCUCAGUAUCUGUUUUUGUUUUAACUGCACAGUUCCAGCUAGAAGGUAAAAUCACAUUUUGGCCAUCUUUAUUUUGUCAUUCUAAAUUAGGAGAGCAUUACUUAGUUCUGGAGCGGGAAGCUUAUUCCAAGCAAGGGGCCAAGGAGAUCUGGGUUUGAUUCCUGGCAGAGUUAAACCUGGAAUUGUUACGGUUGGGAAGUUUGGCAGAGGUUGCGGUGAGCUUCCAUGCAGGAUUCUCCCCGAUUUCCUCACCGAUGCGUUCAUGUCGCUUCAGUCCUCAUUUUCUAAAAUGACCUCUGUGUCUGAUUUCAAGCUCUAAUUUAUUUGUUCAUCCAUUAUAUCAAGCAAAAUCAGCGAGCUAACCAAAAUAAUACAACAAACUUCUUGGGAUUUAAUAAUCUAGGUUACUUACAUGUUCCUGAAUAAUGAUGCGCACAGAAAUUUAUCUUGGUACAUUUUUAUAGAAAUAAAGGAACUAUUGGAUUAUUCAUACAAGUCUAAUUUAAAGGGGGGGAAAUGUCUCUCUCUUGCUACAACAUUAACAAAUGGGUCCUAGGUGGCUAUGAUCACUGGUAUUGCGGUUGUUUGUCUAGAAGAGUAGGUUUGAUUCUAAGCCCUAGUAUGACUCACUGAACACAAGUUCGGAGUCUCUUUUAAAUAUAGUAGUCUUAUGUGACUAAUGAUUCAGGUUCAAUUCCCAUUGGUGUGAUUGAUUCUGUAUUUUUUAUUUGUGGAAAACAUAGCUGUUAAAAUGCUCCCAUCGUAUCUACAAUUCAUAAAAGUCAUGAAAAAGUCCCAAAAUAAACUAACAAUGUUGAAAGUCAUGAAUUUUUAAUUUCCAGCGACCAUUUGUUGAUUUGCAUUUUAUUUGACACCCUUCAGUGUAUAGUAUCAUAAUAAAUACAAAUAGUUGAAGUUGGUACCUGUGCACAUAAAUCAUGUGGAAAUAAUCUUUAAAAAUGUUUUAACAUUCUGACAUCUUCCUGCAAAUAUAUCUAUUUUGUCUUAGGUUUGAUUUUGAUUAUUAUGUAUGAAAAUGACCCUUUAAGAAAAUUUUACUUAUAGCUCAUGGAAAAAGUACUAAAGUUGGUCCUGUAGGUAUUUGUAGACACCCUGAUUCCAUUGUUCUGUUCCAUAUCAUUAUUCAAAGAUGAGACAUUUGCAACAAGAACAGUAAAUACAGAUAAUAAACUCCAGACAACACAGCAAUGCACAGAUGAACUCAGUGAUGAAAAUAAACAGAUAAUCUGGACAGCACAGAUGAACAAAGUAAGCUUUCUUUGUGACAAAACUGUUGUGACAUUCGGGGAACUGGCAUCUGUUCCCGUCAUCAGGCACAAACAAACUUAUUCGUAAAUUGGGAUUUGUGUGUGUUUGACCCCCCCCUCUCCUGCUGCAGCUAAUGACUGGAGCACUCCCCUGAUUGGUUGUGCACAUGUGAACUAAUAUUAUUGGCUGGUGUCUUGCAGCAAAGGUUGUUUUCCUUGUAUUUACUGCUGUUGCAACUGUCUCUUAAUUUUUUUAUAUUUCUUCCAUGUAAUUCUCUGUGCUAUUUAACAUCAAUGUCGGCUAUAUUGGCUUGUUACCCGUGUGUAUGUAUUCAAUUUUGUUGUCCAUUUCCGAGAUUUUUUCUGUAACAACCAGCUUAAACCCGCAAUGGUGUAUGUCAGAUAUUAGUGUGGUGAAAACAUGCCUUAACAUUAAUGCAUUUAAAAUAUAUCUCUAGAACCUCAAUAAAAAAAAAAAGGCAAAUUGAUCUAACACAAUAAUAGGGGUUGCUUUUGUGUUACUGGCUCCGAGGUAGCAAAUUAUUUGUUCAGUUAACAAAGAAAAAGAAUAACAUUUCCCAACACCCUCUGGGUACAACUUGAACAAUUUGAUAUAAUUAAUGCGAAUAACCUGUUUUGGUUAUGCUUAGAUUUGUUUCUAUGCAAGAUUGGUAUCCCAGAAAAUUGAACGGUUUAAAAUGUGACUACUCAUAAUGUGUUUAUUGGAAGCAAAUUUGGCUAAGGAUAGUUUAAAUCAGCAUCAUAUAUAUAUAUAUUGUUGUUUUUUUUGAAAAUAUUCACAAAAUGUCAUAUGUAUAUAUAUAUAUUUUUUUAGAAGCCCAUAUUUUUGAGGUGGUUUGGAAGCUAAUCUGAUAUUUGGAUGCAUAUUGAAUACAUCAUAGCUAAUUAUCAGAUCAAAUUAUUUGCAUGAAAUAAUUAAAAUCAAAAUAAAUAUUUAUAUACCUGUUGUGUAGUCACAAAGAAUAUUAUUGUAUGCUUUGCUUUCAUCAAUUUAGAAACGGGUUUAUCUUUAUAUCUCAAAAUUUGUUUAUCCUUAUUUUGGUUUCUGUUUGUAGACUACAAGUAGAAACGUAUAAGAAAAAAGUAUUUUAUAAUUUGUUGCUUUUAGAAAAGUUUCUGGUAAUUGCCAUCUGUGAAUUGUAAGUGUAGCAUUAUUUGUCCAUCACAAGAUAUUCCAUUUUUUUUUCUCCAAGAUGUAACUGAAAGAAAUAUGUCUACCAUUAAAAUUGGCAAUGUGAUAAAGUUACCUGGUUCUGAUAUAUCGAUUUGGUUGGUCUGACCAUUUGCGAUAAGGACAUUUUGCUUUGUUAACGUAGCAAAUGUUAUUUUAAACUUAAUUUCACCACUAACCAUGUCUCAAUUUUUGGAGUUUUAUCUUCGUAAGAAAAAAAAAUUGAAGUUAUGACAAAGACAUUCAUCAAGAAAAUGCUGAUUUACAAGCAAAUUACAGUGAGCACUCUUUAAUCCGCCAUUUUGUAAUCCAGCACAGAGUUGCUUGCGUUUGGAUUUUUCCCGGGCGAUUUGGGAAUUCAAAUUCCCAUAAAAAAUGGAAGACAUGAAAACAGUUUGACAUAUUUGCGAGCAAAAAUGAAUACAUUUAAGUUGUAAGACUUCUAUUUUCUAGUCUGCAUCACACUAAUUUCAGUACAGAGUAAAUGGCGAACACUGUUGCCAAAUUGAAACUAUUCGGCUUGGUAACAUUAAAAAUUUUAAUUUACUUAUUAAUAAUAAAAGGCAAAAAAAUUGGGUCUAGAAGCACACUGUCAUUGGUUUAACUUGGAAUGUCUACAUCAGAAUGUUGCUUUUAGUGUAUUGGAUCGAAAUGAAGGCGAGAAAUUUACAGCAGUAGAGGUGCAGCUUCAAAUUUCCAUUAUUCCUAAACAGUCUCACUCACUGUGCAUCAGACAAUGGGGUCCAUGUGCAAGUGGCCCAGAGCCUCUUUCCAGCGAUCUUGCGAAUUUAUGUUUUCAGCUGGUCUCGUGCAGCCCGAAGCAAACAUAUUACUUAAGUUAAAUUUUUUUUGAACAAUAAGUUUUUGUAAAGAAAAAUGGCAGAACGCCAGUUUAGUUUGGUUAACAUACAAAUGAAUCAAUUCAAUCCAGUCUGGAUUUAAUAUAUAUUUUUGAUUAAUUGAAAUGGUAAUUUCUUUAAUCUUAAAAUGGUAAACAAAAUAUUUUAACAAAUGCACAUGACAGCAAUAUUUUUUUAUUUGCUAAAAAUACAGAAUAUAUUCACAAUAAACUUUCAGUAAUUUUUUUUUUUUGCUACAUCUUUCCCACUAUACCAAUCAACUUACAAUUUGUGGUUUAAUUUCAUUAGGCUUAUUGUUACACAGCAAGCAAAAUUGCAAUUGCACUACAAAGAGUACAUUUUCAUAUAGUGUAUCACUUCACUUCAUACCACCUUCAACAUUAUUCUGGUUCAUAAAACCUUCAAAUAAUUAAGAAAGAACAGUAUCAAAGAGGUAAGUAGCCAGCUGUAAAAAAAAAAACUAUUCUUAGUCCUUUUCAGAUAAACUUUCAGGUCUAACAGGAUGCUCGUACACAGUAGAAUUAAGUAUUUGUUGUGAGAACCCAAAAAAUAGUUUUUAAAAAAUAAUGUGGCUGUUAGAACAGUUGUUACCAGCACAUAAUACUAAUAUAACAUUAGUAAUUGUUCCUUAUUGAAUAUUCAGUUAAUAUCAAAAAUUUACAAAGCAUAUCUUUAAAAUUAGAAAUAUUUUGGUAAUUACAUAGUUUAAAACCACAAACACAUUCAAGUACUUUUUUUUUAAUGUUAAAAUACAAUUGGAUAAUAUAUUAUGUUACACAGAAUAAUUGCUUCUGAGAACAAUGUUCUUAAAAGUUUAUCUAUAUUUUCAAAAUCAAAUAUAUUUUGGUAAUUAUAUACAGCUUUGCAUCACAAACACAUCCAAUUCCUUUCUUUAUUUUAAUCAUUUUUGUUCAAAACUGGGCAUGCAAUAAGGAAAAAAAAUUCCUGUAAAAUUUUCAGAACAUAACCAUUAUAAUUUUUACAUUUUACUUACUUUUACUUUUCUAGAAAUAAAUACAUUAAUUUUUUUAGGUGUGACUGUGUGUACUAAAGUUCAUGAUUUUACUUUGCAGCCAUGUCACUUACAUCCACAGUAAAUGGUUUAUUUCAGAAAGAACCUAUUCCACUGUAUAAUUUUCAAAACUGGCAUGUUCAGACAUAUAUAAAUUGUUAUUUUAUGAAACACUGCAAUACACACAAAAUGAAGUGAAUAUCAAAUAAGGGGUACCAGUAUGAUAAAUGUGCUGAAGCUAGUAAUUCAAAAAUAUUUUGGCAGUAAAAAUAGCUUCUACUGUAGUACGUGUUUCCUGGAAACCAUAUUUAAGUACUCCACUGACUAGUUGACCCACUGCUUUUUAACUAACAUAAAUGAGGUGAUAAUUCAUGGACAAAAAUUUACCUGAAACUAUGUGCCACUUCAAAUGUUGCCAAGCCUAGCAGAACCACACAAUACAAUGCUUCGAUGAUCACAUUACAAGAGAGCAAGUUAUUGUAUAACAAGAAAAUUUUCAUUAUAUAUAUUUUUUUCCUAUAAAUCACACUUAAUAUGAUCAAAAAACUUAACAAGCAAGAUUAUAAGGAUUAGAUUUACAGGUUUCAUAAAUAAAGUUGAUAAAACUGAUGACAAGUUAGCUUUAAAAACUAACCAUAUAAAGCCAGAAGCUAAUACAAAAAAAAAAUGGUACAAA
Molecule: RNA transcript, 6702 nt
Organism: Bacillus rossius redtenbacheri
Lineage: Eukaryota; Metazoa; Arthropoda; Insecta; Phasmatodea; Bacillidae
Gene name: zinc finger protein 182-like
Exons: 2
Source: RefSeq, a predicted model, not a curated record